RNAcentral lists this ribosomal RNA (500 nucleotides) under uncultured bacterium. RNAcentral's name for it is "partial 16S ribosomal RNA". It matches the Rfam family "Bacterial small subunit ribosomal RNA", at positions 30 to 523 of the family's 1533-position model. The record is from RNAcentral.
AUUGAACGCUGGCGGAAUGCUUUACACAUGCAAGUCGAACGGCAGCACGGACUUCGGUCUGGUGGCGAGUGGCGAACGGGUGAGUAAUACAUCGGAACGUGCCCAGUCGUGGGGGAUAACGUAGCGAAAGCUACGCUAAUACCGCAUACGAUCUAAGGAUGAAAGCGGGGGAUCGCAAGACCUCGCGCGAUUGGAGCGGCCGAUGGCAGAUUAGGUAGUUGGUAGGGUAAAGGCCUACCAAGCCGACGAUCUGUAGCUGGUCUGAGAGGAUGAUCAGCCACACUGGGACUGAGACACGGCCCAGACUCCUACGGGAGGCAGCAGUGGGGAAUUUUGGACAAUGGACGCAAGUCUGAUCCAGCCAUUCCGCGUGCAGGAUGAAGGCCCUCGGGUUGUAAACUGCUUUUGUACAGAACGAAAAGGCUCUGGUUAAUACCUGGGGCUCAUGACGGUACUGUAAGAAUAAGCACCGGCUAACUACGUGCCAGCCGCCGCGGUAA